RNAcentral lists this ribosomal RNA (253 nucleotides) under uncultured bacterium. RNAcentral describes it as "partial 16S ribosomal RNA". It matches the Rfam family "Bacterial small subunit ribosomal RNA", at positions 524 to 776 of the family's 1533-position model. The record is from RNAcentral.
UACGAAGGGGGCUAGCGUUGCUCGGAAUGACUGGGCGUAAAGGGCGCGUAGGCGGUGAACACAGUUAGGCGUGAAAUUCCCGGGCUCAACCUGGGGGCUGCGUUUAAUACAUGUUCGCUUGAGUUCGGAAGAGGGUCGUGGAAUUCCCAGUGUAGUGGUGAAAUACGUAGAGAUUGGGAAGAACACCAGUGGCGAAGGCGGCUAUCUGGACGGUUUCUGACGCUAAGACGCGAAAGCGUGGGGAGCAGACAGG